GGUGAGAUGGCCGAGCGGUUAUGGCGCCAGGUUAAGGACACCUUAACAGGAGAUUCCUGGUGGAGCAAUCCUCGUGGGUUCGAAUCCCACUCUCAUCA
RNAcentral lists this transfer RNA (98 nucleotides) under Escovopsis weberi. It matches the Rfam family "tRNA". From Rfam's summary of the family: Transfer RNA (tRNA) molecules are approximately 80 nucleotides in length. Their secondary structure includes four short double-helical elements and three loops (D, anti-codon, and T loops). Lineage: Eukaryota; Fungi; Ascomycota; Sordariomycetes; Hypocreales; Hypocreaceae. The record is from Rfam by way of RNAcentral.